RNAcentral lists this long non-coding RNA (594 nucleotides) under Solanum tuberosum (potato). RNAcentral describes it as "long non-coding RNA (STUB_LNC010748)". Lineage: Eukaryota; Viridiplantae; Streptophyta; Magnoliopsida; Solanales; Solanaceae. The record is from RNAcentral.
AAACUGAUUAAUUACUGAAUUAGUUAGUUAAUGCUACGUAAAGUUAGUUAGUGAAAUGGUGAGCUGUGAAAUCAGUUAGCCAGCUAGCAAUACAAUUAGUAGAUAAACAGUGUGUAUAUAUAUACUUGUGAGCCACUUGUACAGAUUAAUUCAAUACAGAUGAAAAUUCCCAAAUUGAUUCUCUCCAUUCUUCUUCUUCCUUCGUUGAGUUCCACUCCUCUCUGAUCUCCUGAUUGAGAUUUGUUCAUUAUAUAUCUUGAAAUACCCAAGACUAGUACAUAGGAAAAGACAGAGAGCCUAUCAGUUUUAAGAAGCAUGCAACUAUAGAACAUCCAAAGAAUAGGUCUGAAACAAGUAUGAUAUUAUCUUCUUGUAGUCACCAAUCUGUGUGCCAGUGUUUGGAUCAACAAGGUAAGGCACCUGCAAAAUAAAUUGGACUUCACUUUGAAUUUUACUUGCAAAAUGCUAGAUGCCCUAAGAAUUAUGAAAAGAAAACAGUUCAUGUCAAACGUGAUGCACUAUCUUGUUUUAAUCUGUUCUAAAGCAUAAAGAAAUAAAGUAGAAUAAGUUGCAACAAAGAGAUCAGAUCAUGUU